GAUGAAGAACGUAGUGAAAUGCGAUAAGUAAUGUGAAUUGCAGAAUUCAGUGAAUCAUCGAAUCUUUGAACGCACAUUGCGCCCGCCAGUAUUCUGGCGGGCAUGCCUGUUCGAGCGUCAUUUCAACCCUCAAGACCCCUUCGGGGGACUUGGUGUUGGGGACCGGCACAGGGGCCUGCCUGCUUGUCUUGCAGCGCCCUCGUCGCCCCCGAAAUGAAUUGGCGGCCUCGUCGCGGCCUCCCCUGCGUAGUAGCACAACCUCGCAACGGGAACGUGACGGCGGCCACUGCCGUAAAACAACCCCAAUUUUAUUAGAGUUGACCUCGAAUCAGGUAGGAAUACCCGCUGAACUUAAGCAUAUCAAUAAGCGGAGGA
This 375-nucleotide unclassified non-coding RNA is filed under the name soil metagenome. RNAcentral's name for it is "partial contains 5.8S ribosomal RNA, internal transcribed spacer 2, and large subunit ribosomal RNA". The stretch from base 1 to 120 matches the Rfam family "5.8S ribosomal RNA", at positions 35 to 154 of the family's 154-position model. The record is from RNAcentral.